CCACAUGAGUCUGUAUUUUGUUCACAAUGGAAUAAUAAACAUUGUGAUUAUUUAAUUUCCUAUGCAUUUCAUUUCCUUUAAACAAUGGAUUGGAGACCUUAUCGACGUACUUUAUUCAGAUUUUUUUAAGGAUUUCUCCUUUUGAAGCUUUUCCACUGUGAAUAAAUUAGAGUCACUGAAGAAGAAGACUGGAUCGUGAGUCUUCUACAUGCCUGAUUGCAACAGCUUCAACAGGACAGAAUCUCAGGGAGUCCUGCAGCCCAAAGAGUAGGGCACUCACCUGAGAGGUGGCAGAUGCUUGCUCAGAUUCUUUCUUCCCAUCAGGCAGAGUGGGGACUUGGAUUGUGUGUCUCCAACAUGCCAGCAACGAGGCCGCCCAAAAACAACAUGGCGAAGAGCUGUGGAAGCUGAGCUGAAAAACCUGGGGCACAGCAGGGAGAACCAUUGAAAGACUUGCCAGAAACAGAAAGGAGUGGAGGAGCUUCGUCACUGCCCUAAAUCUAAAUGCCAGAGGUGUAAUAGGAACAUCAUGAUGAUGAUGAUGAUGAUGGUGAGUACAGCAACUCCGCAAUAUAAACAACGCACUGCAACUUCUGCUCAGCAUCACCACCUGAAAAACCUUUUGCAGUGAAUAAGUAACAAGAGCUUGUGUAAACUGCUUUAAAGCAAUAUGAAUAUCCAAAUGUGGUUCAGUCUGAAACACAAACCACAAAGGCUGGGAUUAUCAAAGGAGCCUUAGGGAGUUGGAGUUCUAGCUGAAAUGUUUGGAAAUUAAUACAACCCUAGACUACAUUUGGGAUUAGAGACUGACUCUAAACCUCAAAUCCAAAUAUCCUCAAACCUUGGGCAAGUUUGAAUCCCAGUCCCAACUUUGCGGCCUCUGCUCAUGCCUCAUUUGAAUAUUGUGUUACCUUCCCUUGGUGUGAUGUGCCUUAAACCUUAACCCAGCAUUGGCCCCCCUCUUUAAUAAAUGCUUUACAAUGAUGAGCUCCGAUUUCACUUACCCGCAAGCUUUUCUGAUUCAACAUAUUGGGAUGUAAGGCUUGCAUGCAUUUACUAGGGCAGUCCUACUCUAGUCUAUUCAGAUUCUCAUACCACAACAACCACUAUGGUAUCUCAAUGCCCUAAAAUUUCUAUUCUUAAAAGGUUGAAACCUAAUGUUGAGAACAAAACUGAUUUAAUAUUUGGUAUGAAAAGCUUCUACGCUAACAGUAAACAAAGUAUAUAUUUUAGCAUAAUACCAGAUUUUUAGUUUUGCUGUAUACAAUAGUGAUAUCUCAGUGUUAUAAAUUGGAAAGGAUUGUUUUAUAAAGAGCAUAUUUAAAAUUUUUGUUCAUGUUAUAUGGGACAACUAGUAUUGUGUGUCCAACUCUCUUUGUUUCCUGGUAAAUACGGGAUUUUUUUUUUUUCCUAAAAGAAGUUUAAAGAUUGGAAAUUCUCUAGAUCACUGUUCUGGAUAAUUUAGGUCUCAUCUCAUUUCUGGUUGGGGAUUCAAUACAGUCAACUGAUAGGUAUUGACUUCUUCUCUGCACCCUACUUCAACUGAUUGGGUAACUAUUUAAAAAAAAAAAAAAGAAUGACAAGGUCUUCUGUUCCUCUACCCUGGAAGAUCCAGGAUUACGAUAUUAUCCUAUGAUUCUCUGAAAACAAUUUCCUGGUUUUUACUAUGAGUGCACUGAGAUAAAUCAGUGAUCAGUGCAUAGUUUAGGUUCACUGGUUAGUUCUUUUGUACCUUUUGGUCUGUUGUUCAAGCCUGCCUCCAGUUUUCCAUGUAUGUAACCAUUUCAAGAAGAUAGUUAACUUUUUGUUCUGCUUGGCUAACUAUUCUGUAGCGAUGACCAUUUUUAAAAUUAAUCUCUACAACACUCUAAACUGUGCCUGUUCUUGAUCUGCUGACCCCCUCCUCCCUCACUCAAUGGAUGGAUGGAUGGGCCCACUCUCAAUCUGACACCAAAGCAGGUCUAGGAGGGAAGGGACUCAAAUGGUCAAAAAUGAGCCUGUGCAUUCUCUUCAUUCUUUGACUGCAAGUUCAACAUGUCUCUUAAAACCUCCAAUCUUGAAGCUGAUGAGAGCUUUGGGUAUACAAAGAAUGCAGGAUCAGCUCCAAAGUUUCUUCACAAAGAGGGAUAUGUUACAGUAAUGUCAUAUCAGCACUGUAAUCAGCACAGAUGGAUCUGACACUGGCCAUUUGGACUUGGUAAUAAGUCCCAAGAAGUUAUUUGGAAUGACUCAGCCACCGCAUUUUCCUGGCCAAGUCCUGCUGCAUUCUUCCAUCCCACACAUAUUUCCUACAGGCUGCACUUUUUCUGAUGAAAAUUAAUAUUUUUAUAUUACUACAUCAUUCAAAAGCCCAUUGCGUGACAAAACUAUUUCCAUUAUCAGCAUCUCAUUUUAAUUACAAAUUAAGAGCCUGAUACUGAAAAUCUUUUUUUCCACAUUGUAACUAAACCCUAUGCAGCAGAUAAGGAAAUAUCCACUAGCUAGAAGUAGUACCAGGGGCCUUAUCCGGUCUGCAGAUACUAGAGGGAAUCUCUCUCUCUCUC
Molecule: long non-coding RNA, 2543 nt
Organism: Trachemys scripta elegans
Lineage: Eukaryota; Metazoa; Chordata; Testudines; Emydidae
Exons: 3
Source: RefSeq, a predicted model, not a curated record